Molecule: transfer RNA, 72 nt
Filed under: Ulnaria acus
Lineage: Eukaryota; Bacillariophyta; Fragilariophyceae; Fragilariales; Fragilariaceae
Description: tRNA-Gln
Rfam family: tRNA
About the family: Transfer RNA (tRNA) molecules are approximately 80 nucleotides in length. Their secondary structure includes four short double-helical elements and three loops (D, anti-codon, and T loops).
Source: RNAcentral
UGAAAUAUAGCCAAGAGGUAAGGCACUCGUUUUUGAUACGAGUUAGCAAAGGUUCGAAUCCUUUUAUUUCAA